Molecule: transfer RNA, 85 nt
Filed under: Felis catus (domestic cat)
Lineage: Eukaryota; Metazoa; Chordata; Mammalia; Carnivora; Felidae
Rfam family: tRNA
About the family: Transfer RNA (tRNA) molecules are approximately 80 nucleotides in length. Their secondary structure includes four short double-helical elements and three loops (D, anti-codon, and T loops).
Source: Rfam by way of RNAcentral
GCCUAGGUGGCUCAGUUGGUUAAGCAUCUGACUUCAGCUUAGGUGAUGAUCCCAUGGUUUGUGGAUUCAAGCCCCGCACUGGGCU